This 222-nucleotide unclassified non-coding RNA is filed under the name uncultured fungus. RNAcentral describes it as "sequence contains 5.8S rRNA gene, ITS2". The stretch from base 1 to 110 matches the Rfam family "5.8S ribosomal RNA", at positions 42 to 154 of the family's 154-position model. Lineage: Eukaryota; Fungi. The record is from RNAcentral.
AACGCAGCAAAGUGCGAAAUGUAAUGCGAAUUGCAUGCUCUGCGAGUCAUCUAAUCUUUGAACGCAAAUGGCACGUCAUGUCGAGCGACAGUAUGCCUGUUUGAGAACCACAUAACCAAUCACCACUAGUUAGCGGUGUCGCUGCCUGUUGACCACGUCUCGGGCUAAAUGGAUGUGCGACGACCAGUAAGGCGUAGUGUGAUAAUCACAUCAUUGCGCUUU